UACGUAGGGUGCAAGCGUUAAUCGGAAUUACUGGGCGUAAAGCGUGCGCAGGCGGUUAUGUAAGACAGGUGUGAAAUCCCCGGGCUUAACCUGGGAACUGCAUUUGUGACUGCAUAGCUAGAGUACGGUAGAGGGGGAUGGGAAUUCCGCGUGUAGCAGUGAAAUGCGUAGAUAUGCGGAGGAACACCGAUGGCGAAGGCAAUCCCCUGGACCUGUACUGACG
This 223-nucleotide ribosomal RNA is filed under the name uncultured bacterium. Its description in RNAcentral is "partial 16S ribosomal RNA". It matches the Rfam family "Bacterial small subunit ribosomal RNA", at positions 524 to 745 of the family's 1533-position model. The record is from RNAcentral.